CUACGGGGGGCAGCAGUGGGGAAUAUUGGGCAAUGGGCGCAAGCCUGACCCAGCAACGCCGCGUGAGGGAAGAAGGUCUUCGGAUUGUAAACCUCUGUCCUUGGGGACGAAAAAAAUGACGGUACCCAAGGAGGAAGCUCCGGCUAACUACGUGCCAGCAGCCGCGGUAAUACGUAGGGAGCAAGCGUUGUCCGGAAUUACUGGGCGUAAAGGGUGCGUAGGCGGCAUGGCAAGUCAGAUGUGAAAUCCCCGGGCUUAACUCGGGUGGUGCAUUUGAAACUGCCAAGCUUGAGUGCAGGAGAGGAAAGCGGAAUUCCUAGUGUAGCGGUGAAAUGCGUAGAUAUUAGGAGGAACACCAGUGGCGAAGGCGGCUUUCUGGACUGUAACUGACGCUGAGGCACGAAAGCGUGGGGAGCAAACAGAAUUAGAUACCCUGGUAGUCCACGCUGUAAACGAUGGAUACUAGGUGUGGGGGACAUACAACCUCCGUGCCGGAGCUAACGCAAUAAGUAUC
RNAcentral lists this ribosomal RNA (514 nucleotides) under uncultured bacterium. RNAcentral describes it as "bacterial SSU rRNA". It matches the Rfam family "Bacterial small subunit ribosomal RNA", at positions 339 to 868 of the family's 1533-position model. The record is from RNAcentral.